GUUGUAGUCUGGAGAAGUGCUUUCCGCGCUGGACCGUGUACAAGUCCCUUGGAACAGGGCGUCAUAGAGGGUGAGAAUCCCGUCUUUGACACGGACUACCAGUGCUUUGUGAUGCGCUCUCAAAGAGUCGAGUUGUUUGGGAAUGCAGCUCAAAAUGGGUGGUAAAUUCCAUCUAAAGCUAAAUACAGGCGAGAGACCGAUAGCGAACAAGUACCGUGAGGGAAAGAUGAAAAGCACUUUGGAAAGAGAGUUAAACAGUACGUGAAAUUGCUGAAAGGGAAACGAUUGAAGUCAGUCGCGUUGUCUGGAAGUCAGCCUUGCAAUUUUGUUUGGUGUAUUUUUCAGAUUGACGGGCCAGCAUCGAUUUUGACCGUUGGAUAAAGAUGAGGGGAAUGUGGCACCUUCGGGUGUGUUAUAGCCCCUUGUCACAUACAACGGUUGGGAUCGAGGAACUCAGCACGCCUUUAUUGGUCGGGGUUCGCCCACGUUCGUGCUUAGGAUGCUGGCAUAAUGGCUUUAAACGACCCGUCUUGAAACACGGACCAAGGAGUCUAACAUACCUGCGAGUGUUUGGGUGGUAAACCCGAGCGCGUAAUUAAAGUAAAAGUUGAGAUCCCCGUUACAAGGGAGCAUCGACGCCCGGACUUGACCUUCUGUGAUAGCUCUGCGGUAGAGCAUGUAUGUUGGGACCCGAAAGAUGGUGAACUAUGCCUGAAUAGGGUGAAGCCAGAGGAAACUCUGGUG
This 744-nucleotide ribosomal RNA is filed under the name Fibroporia gossypium. RNAcentral's name for it is "partial 28S ribosomal RNA". It matches the Rfam family "Eukaryotic large subunit ribosomal RNA", at positions 142 to 869 of the family's 3401-position model. Lineage: Eukaryota; Fungi; Basidiomycota; Agaricomycetes; Polyporales; Fibroporiaceae. The record is from RNAcentral.